Vicia faba (fava bean) is the source of this 279-nucleotide non-coding RNA. Lineage: Eukaryota; Viridiplantae; Streptophyta; Magnoliopsida; Fabales; Fabaceae. The record is from the annotation of a GenBank genome assembly.
AUGGAUUCUGUGCUUGGUAAUUUGCCAUCUUAUAACCCUCAUAAUUUCAGUCAGAUUCGACCUUCAGAUCCUUCUAGUUCUUCUAAGACACCAGCUACUUACCAUCCUACUCACAGCAGGACCCUUCCGCCGCCUGAUCAAGUGAUAAACACUGAAGCCAAAAAUAUCCUCCUAAGGCACAUUUAUCAGCAUGCUCGGGAAAAGUUGAAACCAAAAAGAGCUGCAGCUGGUAACCUCUUACCGGAGCACGGAUGCAAGCAACCUAGGGUUUCCUCUUGA